UAGAGUUUGAUCCUGGCUCAGAUUGAACGCUGGCGGCAGGCCUAACACAUGCAAGUCGAGCGGAAACGAGUUAUCUGAACCUUCGGGGAACGAUAACGGCGUCGAGCGGCGGACGGGUGAGUAAUGCCUAGGAAAUUGCCUUGAUGUGGGGGAUAACCAUUGGAAACGAUGGCUAAUACCGCAUGAUGCCUACGGGCCAAAGAGGGGGACCUUCGGGCCUCUCGCGUCAAGAUAUGCCUAGGUGGGAUUAGCUAGUUGGUGAGGUAAUGGCUCACCAAGGCGACGAUCCCUAGCUGGUCUGAGAGGAUGAUCAGCCACACUGGAACUGAGACACGGUCCAGACUCCUACGGGAGGCAGCAGUGGGGAAUAUUGCACAAUGGGCGCAAGCCUGAUGCAGCCAUGCCGCGUGUAUGAAGAAGGCCUUCGGGUUGUAAAGUACUUUCAGCAGUGAGGAAGGGGGUGUCGUUAAUAGCGGC
Molecule: ribosomal RNA, 477 nt
Filed under: Vibrio sp. PS4C-CB169
Lineage: Bacteria; Pseudomonadati; Pseudomonadota; Gammaproteobacteria; Vibrionales; Vibrionaceae
Description: bacterial SSU rRNA
Rfam family: Bacterial small subunit ribosomal RNA
Source: RNAcentral